This 69-nucleotide transfer RNA is filed under the name Odontobutis haifengensis. RNAcentral describes it as "tRNA-Met". Lineage: Eukaryota; Metazoa; Chordata; Actinopteri; Gobiiformes; Odontobutidae. The record is from RNAcentral.
AGUAAAGUCAGCUAAACAAGCUCUCAGGCCCAUACCCCGAAUAUGUUGGUUAAACCCCCUCCUUUACUU